RNAcentral lists this ribosomal RNA (257 nucleotides) under uncultured Nocardioides sp. RNAcentral's name for it is "partial 16S ribosomal RNA". It matches the Rfam family "Bacterial small subunit ribosomal RNA", at positions 220 to 489 of the family's 1533-position model. The record is from RNAcentral. Lineage: Bacteria; Bacillati; Actinomycetota; Actinomycetes; Propionibacteriales; Nocardioidaceae.
GGGGGAUGAGCUCGCGGGCUAUCAGCUUGUUGGUGAGGUAAUGGCUUACCAAGGCUUCGACGGGUAGCCGGCCUGAGAGGGUGACCGGCCACACUGGGACUGAGACACGGCCCAGACUCCUACGGGAGGCAGCAGUGGGGAAUAUUGGACAAUGGGCGAAAGCCUGAUCCAGCAACGCCGCGUGAGGGAUGACGGCCUUCGGGUUGUAAACCUCAUUCAGUACCGACGAAGCGCAAGUGAGGGUAGGUACAGAACAA